Molecule: ribosomal RNA, 384 nt
Filed under: uncultured archaeon
Lineage: Archaea
Description: bacterial SSU rRNA
Rfam family: Archaeal small subunit ribosomal RNA
Source: RNAcentral
ACGGCUCAGUAACACGUUGAUAACCUACCUUAUGAUUCAGGAUAACCUCGGGAAACUGAGGACAAGACUGGAUAGGAGUGGAUGUCUGGAAUGAUUCUACUCUGAAACGCAAGGUCGUAAGAUGGGUCAGCGGCGGAUUAGGUUGUUGGCGGGGUAAAGGCCCACCAAGCCAAAGAUCCGUAGGGGCCGUGAGAGCGGGAGCCCCGAGAAGGAAACUGAGAUACUGUUCCUAGCCCCACGGGGUGCAGCAGGCGCGAAAAUUCUACAAUGCACGCAAGUGUGAUAGAGGGACCCUAAGUGCUCUACUACGUAGGGCUUUUGCCAAGUGUAAAUAGCUUGGAGAAUAAGUGGUGGGUAAGACUGGUGCCAGCAGCCGCGGUAAUA